This 253-nucleotide ribosomal RNA is filed under the name uncultured bacterium. RNAcentral's name for it is "partial 16S ribosomal RNA". It matches the Rfam family "Bacterial small subunit ribosomal RNA", at positions 524 to 776 of the family's 1533-position model. The record is from RNAcentral.
UACGUAGGGGGCAAGCGUUGUCCGGAAUCAUUGGGCGUAAAGAGCGUGUAGGCGGCCCGAUAAGUCCGCUGUGAAAGUCCAGGGCUCAACCCUGGAAUGCCGGUGGAUACUGUCGGACUAGAGUACGGAAGAGGCGAGUGGAAUUCCUGGUGUAGCGGUGAAAUGCGCAGAUAUCAGGAGGAACACCAAUUGCGAAGGCAGCUCGCUGGGACGUUACUGACGCUGAGACGCGAAAGCGUGGGGAGCAAACAGG